Aedes aegypti (yellow fever mosquito) is the source of this 72-nucleotide non-coding RNA. NCBI's taxonomy places the organism in Eukaryota, Metazoa, Arthropoda, Insecta, Diptera, Culicidae. The record is from Rfam.
GGCUCGGUAGCUUGGUGGAUAAAGCGCUCGUCUAGCAUACAAGAGUCCUGGGUUCGAAUUCCAGCCGAGCAC